This 261-nucleotide ribosomal RNA is filed under the name Citrobacter freundii. RNAcentral describes it as "partial 16S ribosomal RNA". It matches the Rfam family "Bacterial small subunit ribosomal RNA", at positions 997 to 1258 of the family's 1533-position model. RNAcentral also lists the same sequence under 3 other names. The record is from RNAcentral. Lineage: Bacteria; Pseudomonadati; Pseudomonadota; Gammaproteobacteria; Enterobacterales; Enterobacteriaceae.
UUAGCAGAGAUGCUUUGGUGCCUUCGGGAACUCUGAGACAGGUGCUGCAUGGCUGUCGUCAGCUCGUGUUGUGAAAUGUUGGGUUAAGUCCCGCAACGAGCGCAACCCUUAUCCUUUGUUGCCAGCGGUCCGGCCGGGAACUCAAAGGAGACUGCCAGUGAUAAACUGGAGGAAGGUGGGGAUGACGUCAAGUCAUCAUGGCCCUUACGAGUAGGGCUACACACGUGCUACAAUGGCAUAUACAAAGAGAAGCGACCUCGC